CCCUUAGAUGUUCUGGACUGCACGCGCGCUACACUGAUGCGCUCAACGAGUUUAUGACCUUGCCCGGAAGGGUUGGGUAAUCUUCUUAAAACGCAUCGUGAUGGGGAUAGAUUAUUGCAAUUAUUAAUCUUCAACGAGGAAUUCCUAGUAAGCGCGAGUCAUCAGCUCGUGCUGAUUACGUCCCUGCCCUUUGUACACACCGCCCGUCGCUCCUACCGAUUGAAUGAUCCGGUGAGGCCCCCGGAUUGUGGCAAUGGCUCUGGUUCGCCAGACCAAUGCUGCGAGAAGCUGUCCAAACCUUAUCAUUUAGAGGAAGGAGAANUCGUANCA
This 330-nucleotide ribosomal RNA is filed under the name uncultured eukaryote. Its description in RNAcentral is "partial 18S ribosomal RNA". It matches the Rfam family "Eukaryotic small subunit ribosomal RNA", at positions 1470 to 1796 of the family's 1831-position model. The record is from RNAcentral.